AUGCUGGACGUAUCAGAAGUGCGAAUGCUGACAUAAGUAACGAUAAAGCGGGUGAAAAGCCCGCUCGCCGGAAGACCAAGGGUUCCUGUUCAACGUUAAUCGGAGCAGGGUGAGUCGACCCCUAAGGCGAGGCUGAAAAGCGUAGUCGAUGGGAAACGGGUUAAUAUUCCCGUACUUGUGGUAACUGCGAAGGGGGGACGGAGAAAGUUAGGCUAUCCGGGCGACGGUUGUCCCGGUUUAAGCGUGAAGGUGGAGAGACUAGGCAAAUCCGGUCUUUCAUUAACACUGAGGCGUGAUGACGAAGCACUACGGUGCUGAAGUAGCUGAUACUACGCUUCCAGGAAAAGCCUCUAAGCAUCAGGUUACCAGAAAUCGUACCCCAAACCGACACAGGUGGUCAGGUAGAGAAUACUCAGGCGCUUGAGAGAACUCGGGUGAAGGAACUAGGCAAAAUGGUGCCGUAACUUCGGGAGAAGGCACGCUGAUGGUAGGUGAAGUCCCUUGCGGAUGGAGCUGAACUCAGUCGAAGAUACCAGCUGGCUGCAACUGUUUAUUAAAAACACAGCACUGUGCAAACACGAAAGUGGACGUAUACGGUGUGACGCCUGCCCGGUGCCGGAAGGUUAAUUGAUGGGGUUAGCGAAAGCGAAGCUCUUGAUCGAAGCCUCGGUAAACGGCGGCCGUAACUAUAACGGUCCUAAGGUAGCGAAAU
This 712-nucleotide ribosomal RNA is filed under the name Plesiomonas shigelloides. RNAcentral's name for it is "partial 23S ribosomal RNA". It matches the Rfam family "Bacterial large subunit ribosomal RNA", at positions 1270 to 1965 of the family's 2925-position model. The record is from RNAcentral. Lineage: Bacteria; Pseudomonadati; Pseudomonadota; Gammaproteobacteria; Enterobacterales; Enterobacteriaceae.